UUCGGCCCCGCAGCCCUUGGACGCCCAGCGCCGCGCACCGCCCGCCCCACAAGAGCGCUGUCCCGCGGCGGGGCGGAGGAGGCCGGGGGCCCGGGGAGCGGGUGCCGUUUUUGGAGCAUUGUGCCCGGUGCUAGAGGAACCAGGACGGCUGAGACGUUUUCUGCACGCUGGGAAUUUACUGAGAGGUGGACUUUCCUUAUAAUAUAGAUGAAAUUCUGAUCAUUAAAGGGAGGUGAUGAUGUAAUUUUGACUGUCCACACACUUACUGAAGUGGCAAGGCAUAAACAGUCACAGGAGUGGUGUGCCCUGAGUCCUGCUACCUUUGGAGCAGUUUGUAUUUAGAGUGACCUUUACGAAUGAAGGGUGGCAUCUACUGCAGAUUGAUUCUUCCCUAUUUCCCUUUUACAAGCAACCUUAUUUUGAAAUGCCCGGGGCAGCUGCCUCCUGCGCUGUGUUCGUUUUUGUAGUUCAGGGCCCUCUGUGAAUAUCUAGGCUUUUGUGUUGUACCUAGGUCUCUCUCCAGGAGUUGCAUAACAUUUUUGACUGCUUUUGUCAGCUAAAAUUAUCCUUCUAGAAAUGAGAAUAUUUAAGGUGAUUUGAUUCCAUCUGUGGUUGAGGUGUUAGAAUCAUUGUUGCUUUCAGGGAAACUUUUUCAAUUAGUAUUCUGUUCCAUAGGGAUAAGACCUCUGAAUAUAUCUCUAAACAAGAUUCCCAAGUAAUUUAAAGUGAUACCUUGCUAAGGCAAGCAGAUUGUUCCAUUGUUUGAAAAAGUAAAUAAUAGCCAAAAUUAGGAGCUAUGACAUACUGGGUAGAUGCCAGAAUGUGGAUUAUGGUCUGUUCAUUUUCAUGUUCCUUGCUCCUGAUACAGUGACAGCAUGUAAUA
Cynocephalus volans (Philippine flying lemur) is the source of this 883-nucleotide long non-coding RNA. RefSeq lists it as uncharacterized. NCBI's taxonomy places the organism in Eukaryota, Metazoa, Chordata, Mammalia, Dermoptera, Cynocephalidae. The record is from RefSeq and is a predicted model, not a curated record. The transcript has 4 exons.